This 504-nucleotide ribosomal RNA is filed under the name uncultured Delftia sp. RNAcentral describes it as "partial 16S ribosomal RNA". Lineage: Bacteria; Pseudomonadati; Pseudomonadota; Betaproteobacteria; Burkholderiales; Comamonadaceae. The record is from RNAcentral.
CACGUAGUUAGCCGGUGCUUAUUCUUACGGUACCGUCAUGGGCCUCUCGUAUUAGGAGAAGCUUUUUCGUUCCGUACAAAAGCAGUUUACAACCCGAAGGCCUUCAUCCUGCACGCGGCAUUGCUGGAUCAGGCUUUUGCCCAUUGUCCAAAAUUCCCCACUGCUGCCUCCCGUAGGAGUCUGGGCCGUGUCUCAGUCCCAGUGUGGCUGGUCGUCCUCUCAGACCAGCUACAGAUCGUCGGCUUGGUAAGCUUUUAUCCCACCAACUACCUAAUCUGCCAUCGGCCGCUCCAAUCGCGCGAGGCCCGAAGGUCCCCCGCUUUCACUCCUCAGAUCGUAUGCGGUAUUAGCUACUCUUUCGAGUAGUUACUCCCCCAGACUGGGCACGUUCCGAUGUAUUACUCACCCGUUCGCCACUCGUCAGCGUCCGAGACCUGUUACCGUUCGACUUGCAUGUGUAAGGCAUGCCGCAGCGUUCAAUCUGAGCCAGGACUACGAAACUCU